This 229-nucleotide ribosomal RNA is filed under the name uncultured bacterium. Its description in RNAcentral is "partial 16S ribosomal RNA". It matches the Rfam family "Bacterial small subunit ribosomal RNA", at positions 568 to 796 of the family's 1533-position model. The record is from RNAcentral.
UGCGUAGGCGGGCGCCUAAGUCAGCGGUGAAAUACAGCGGCUCAACCGUUGAGCUGCCGUUGAUACUGGGCGCCUUGAACUCGGUCGAGGCCGGCGGAAUGCGCGGUGUAGCGGUGAAAUGCUUAGAUAUCGCGCAGAACGCCGAUUGCGAAGGCAGCUGGCCGGGCCGAGAUUGACGCUGAGGCACGAAAGCGUGGGGAUCGAACAGGAUUAGAUACCCUGGUAGUCC